AUGAACGCUGGCGGCGUGCCUAAUACAUGCAAGUCGAGCGAACAGACGAGGAGCUUGCUCCUCUGACGUUAGCGGCGGACGGGUGAGUAACACGUGGAUAACCUACCUAUAAGACUGGGAUAACUUCGGGAAACCGGAGCUAAUACCGGAUAAUAUAUUGAACCGCAUGGUUCAAUAGUGAAAGACGGUUUUGCUGUCACUUAUAGAUGGAUCCGCGCCGCAUUAGCUAGUUGGUAAGGUAACGGCUUACCAAGGCAACGAUGCGUAGCCGACCUGAGAAGGUGAUCGGCCACACUGGAACUGAGACACGGUCCAGACUCCUACGGGAGGCAGCAGUAGGGAAUCUUCCGCAAUGGGCGAAAGCCUGACGGAGCAACGCCGCGUGAGUGAUGAAGGUCUUCGGAUCGUAAAACUCUGUUAUUAGGGAAGAACAAAUGUGUAAGUAACUAUGCACGUCUUGACGGUACCUAAUCAGAAAGCCACGGCUAACUACGUG
This 496-nucleotide ribosomal RNA is filed under the name uncultured bacterium. RNAcentral describes it as "partial 16S ribosomal RNA". It matches the Rfam family "Bacterial small subunit ribosomal RNA", at positions 29 to 507 of the family's 1533-position model. The record is from RNAcentral.